Long non-coding RNA from Oryza sativa Japonica Group (Japanese rice), 1420 nucleotides. RefSeq lists it as uncharacterized. Lineage: Eukaryota; Viridiplantae; Streptophyta; Magnoliopsida; Poales; Poaceae. The record is from RefSeq and is a predicted model, not a curated record.
CAACUUACACGCGACGUGGGCUAGAUGGGCCGGAUGGCUAGAGCCAUGUGGGCUGUCCACGGAUGGCCCGUUUACUCGUUCCUCUCUGGGCUGUCAGUUUCUUUUUCGCCUCCCCUAUAUAUGGAUCUCUCCGCCUCUACUCCGCUGUUGGAUUGGAACAGUCGCUCUCAGGCUAGUCGCCGUCGGUUCCAAUCCAAUAACCACGCCGUUCCGGUCGCGCUGCACCGCCGUCCGCCGCGGCCGCCGCCGCCCGGCGCCCGCGGUUAGCCUAGGGUCAGUUUCGGACAGCGGCCAGCGCGUCCGGCACUAUCAUGGAAAACAUGUUCGAUUUCAACAGCGAAGACUUUGAUGAGCUUGCUCUUGAUGGAAGCAAUUACUUGGAACGGGCUAUUGAGGCUCAAAUCCAUUUAGGCAUGAAAGGUCUCUGUACGGCACUUAUCUCUAAUUCAGAGUGUACCGAGACCCAAAAGAGGGAGGCAUUGGCUUUUCUUUGGCGCCAUUUAAACAAAGGAUUUCGGACUGAUUAUCGCGCUGAAAGAGAUCCAUUUGUCUUAUGGCAAUCCCUGAAGGAUCGAUUUGAAGAAGAGCAGAAGGCCAGGGUCCUAUAUCAAGCUCAGAAUGACUGGUUGAACUUGCGUUUCCAUGACUACAAGCUUGUGUCUGAAUAUGACUCAGCUCUCCAUCUCAUAAUCUCUCGAUUCAAAAUUUGUGGUAGAGAAAUCACGCAGGAGGAGUUAAUUGAGAAGACAUUAUCUACAUUUCAUCCAAUUAACCUUCAUCUACAUCGGCAAUACAGGGCUGCAAGAUAUGAGAAGUACUAUGACCUGCUAUGGACAUUAAGAGAGGCUGAAGCUCACAAGCUGUUGCUCAUGAAAGGUCAGUAUAAUGACCGACCAACGGGUGCAUCAACGAGUAGGACGAACUGGUUACGAGCUAGAGGUCAAGGGCGAGGUGGAAACCGACGGCGAAGAGGAAAGUACAAUGGAAGAAAAUAAAUCACAUUUGUGGUUGUAGCUCAACAAAGGAUGCUGACAGAUGAGGUCAUUGAGGACACCAAACGUGGAUAACAUAUUUGCCUGAACUUUCUAUGGUGGUUUUGGUGAUGCGUACUGACGAGGUCAUGAAAAAUGUCAAUUAUCCGCAUUUGUUAUUUUUAGAUAUAUGCUAGUAUGUCAUUGUCCGGACUUUGUCAUAUAUAGAUACUUCCUGUGUUCUGGUUAAGUUACAUCUUACAUGUAUUCUUUAGUGAAAUUGUUAAGUGAAAAUUGAGUGGGUAUUAAGUUAGAUUUUAGUAAAGUCCCUUUUACUUAUAGCUAAUUUUAUUUCUGUUUUUUCACAGUUUUUUCAUUGCUUUCAACUUAGUUGUAUCAUGUUCACAAACUCACCGUCCAGAUGUACUCUCUGAAUUACAGGUUAACUA